UCCAGACUCCUACGGGAGGCAGCAGUGAGGAAUAUUGGUCAAUGGGCGCGAGCCUGAACCAGCCAAGUCGCGUGAGGGAUGACGGUCCUACGGAUUGUAAACCUCUUUUGCCGGGGAGCAAGCGUGCGUUCGUGAACGCGCGUCGAGAGUACCCGGAGAAAAAGCAUCGGCUAACUCCGUGCCAGCAGCCGCGGUAAUACGGAGGAUGCGAGCGUUAUCCGGAUUUAUUGGGUUUAAAGGGUGCGUAGGCGGGCUGUUAAGUCAGCGGUAAAAGCCCGGGGCUCACCCCCGGCGAGCCGUUGAAACUGGCUGUCUUGAGAUGUCGAGAGGUAUGCGGAAUGCGCAGUGUAGCGGUGAAAUGCUUAGAUAUUGCGCAGAACUCCGAUUGCGAAGGCAGCAUACCGGCGGCGAUCUGACGCUGAGGCACGAAAGCGUGGGUAUCGAACAGGAUUAGAUACCCGGGUA
Molecule: ribosomal RNA, 465 nt
Filed under: uncultured bacterium
Lineage: Bacteria
Description: bacterial SSU rRNA
Rfam family: Bacterial small subunit ribosomal RNA
Source: RNAcentral